GAGGAAGAGAGGGAUGACAUGGAGGAAGAGAGGGAUGACAUGGAGGAAGAGAGGGAUGACAUGGAGGAAGAGAGGGAUGACAUGGAGGAAGAGAGGGAUGGAUGGACAGUGAUGGGGGGGGGUAAGGGUGGCCGUCUGUGUGUUGACUGAAAUGCAUCGAACAUAUUGAACCGGCAAGAGAGACCAGUUGCCAGGACAACCAGAGACAUUCACAACAGAAGAGAUGUGUUUUACCAUACAGGCGAUAUCAUCACCACGUCUUCAUUAACACCUCAACAAUACAGUAAUGUGGUUCCAUUAGAGACCGAGAGCAACCCACAACAGUCAACCCACAACAGUCAACCCACAACAGUCAACCCACAGCAGUCAACCCACAGCAGUCAACCCACAACAGUCAGUCAGAGAGCAACCCACAGUCAACCCACAGCAGUCAACCCACAGCAGUCAACCCACAGCAGUCAACCCACAACAGUCAACCCACAACAGUCAACCCACAACAGUCAACCCACAACAGUCAACCCACAACAAAGCCACAACAGUCAACCCACAACAGUCAGUCAGAGAGCAGUCACCUCACUAUUAAAACCAGUGAUACACCAUGAAUAUGAUGAUGGACAACAGGAGAAGAAGACAGUUGACCUGGGGGACACAUGGACAACAGGAGAAGAAGACAGUUGACCUGGGGGACACAUGGACAACAGGAGAAGAGGACAGUUGACCUGGGGGACACAUGGACAACAGGAGAAGAGGACAGUUGACCUGGGGGACACAUGGACAACAGGAGAAGAGGACAGUUGACCUGGGGGACACAUGGACAACAGGAGAAGAGGACAGUUGACCUGGGGGACACAUGGACAACAGGAGAAGAGGACAGUUGACCUGGGGGACACAUGGACAACAGGCUGAACCAGAAACUCUAUUUGUGAUGCUGAUAGAAAUCCCGAUAUGGAAAGAAGACACAUGGAUCUGUAUGUGAUGAUAUGGUUAAACCAGACCUCUCUCUUCCUGGUGUGGGUUACCUAGUGACAGCAGGCUGUAGGGCGUUCUAAACCAGACCUCUCUCUUCCUGGUGUGUGUUACCUAGUGACAGCAGGCUGUAGGGUGUUCUAAACCAGACCUCUCUCUUCCUGGUGUGGGUUACCUAGUGACAGCAGGCUGUAGGGUGUUCUAAACCAGACCUCUCUCUUCCUGGUGUGGGUUACCUAGUGACAGCAGGCUGUAGGGCGUUCUAAACCAG
Oncorhynchus tshawytscha (Chinook salmon) is the source of this 1237-nucleotide long non-coding RNA. The record is from Ensembl. Lineage: Eukaryota; Metazoa; Chordata; Actinopteri; Salmoniformes; Salmonidae.